CCACACCAAUAGCCCGGCAGGAGAUGUGAGUAAUACAUGGCUGGUUCAGAGGGAGUGAGAUCAAAAGCGAGUAGAUACAAGAGGUUUGUGCUUCACCGACCAGACAGCAGAGGCUCAAUGAGACCUUUGUUGCCCAGGCCCGAGUCAGGGCUGAAGGAGUACCUGACCCCCGCGCCCAGCAGCCCCCACACCCACCACCCCUGGGCAGGGGGAGGGGCGUCGGGCCUGCCCCAGUGAGUAGAGUUGGGCACAGCUCAGACCAGGCUGGUGGGUGGGAAGAGGCAGGAGGGCCUGCCCUCGCUGGGCUGGGCGUGGAGCUUCUGGGGUAAGUGGAGGAGUGAGCGGCUGCCUGGAAAGCAGGAAAUGGCUCUGCGAGAACUGUGAGGGAGCCUUCGAGGGAGAGGGGCCUGGCUGGGCCCCCCAGAUCUCUGGUGAGCAGCCCCAGCCUGGCCCAGGGCAUGCCCCAGUUCACCUUCGCCUGCUUCUGCGGCCUCCACGGCUUCUGCAAGAUGAAGAGGAAGAAGGAGGAAGCUCACAGAGAGCGGGAAACGGCGGUGUGAGCAGAACCGGGCCGUUGCUCAGCCCCUAGCAGGUUCAGGCCUGAGGGCGCACUGCUGGCCGAGGCCUGGAGCAGGAAGUCUCCAUUGCACUGCUCUUCUCAGCUUGGCCUGACUCCAUCUACCCUGAGGGCUUCGGCCUCCUGCUGCCUGCCUGGGAGCUUCCCAUCCCCGAGACGUCCCUGGGGAGAGGCCCCGGCCACACCCACAGUGGGGCCAGCCAGGACCUGCGUUGGCCUCCCAGAGACCAAGAGGUCUGCGGAGGCCCCAGGAGUGACGCUUCUUUCCCGCCCGAGGUCAGGCCUCCAGGGACUCUGCUCAGGGUCUCCUCCCCUGAGGGCCUGCAGCCCUGGACCAGGACCCUGGCUGCUCUGCCGGAGGCCCUCCCCGCAGCCCUGCCCCUGGGGGGCCCUCAGGAAGGAGGGCGGGUGGAGGUGGAGAGGAGCCCCCUCCAGGCCCAGGAUCUGGAUGUAGCCUCUCCCGGGCCGGCCUGAGGCAGGAGCCUCUGCGGAGCAGCAGCAGCAUCCACAGGAAUGUGGCCGGAGAGAUGAGUCCUUUCCCGCCAGUGUCCUCCUGGGCCAGGUGGAGCCAGGCCUGAGGGGGCAGCCUGGUUGUGAGGGGAUGGCAGAGUGGGGCCACUGGGAGGCUGGGCAGACGUCCUCUGCCUCAGUCGGGCAGGCAGCUGGCUCUGUCUCCCUCUCCCCCACUCUCCCCACACGCCAGAAAGCACCCUUCCCUUGCACCCGGCCUCUCUGAGCCGCUCGCCUCCACCAUGCCUCCUUGGCAGCAGCACAGAUGUGGGGGGCCUUUCCCCAGGCCCUGGCUCCCCUCAGGGACGACUUCCUGCGCCAGACCGAGGGAGCCCUCUCCUGGACUGAGCCGUGCCCUCUCUUCCCUCCCCUGUCUCUCUGCCUCUUCCUUUCUCUUCUCAGAAGCCAUAGAGGGGGAAAUGCUUGCAUGUGGUGCCUUUAGGGGAAACUCUGGGGGGAGGGGUCCUCUAGGACUUUCCCUCUAAUCUCCCCACCCCACCAACCUUAGCAGUCAGUCUCUGCUCCCACUCCCACCCUAUUUCCAGGAGGUAAGAAGCAAAUGAAAACCAUUUCAUUCCUUCUUUCCUCGCUUCCCGCCCCGUCCCCCCAAUAUAACUUAGCCUCCAUCACUGUGCCGGGACCUCUCAGGUGCUAGAGGGUCCUGCGACAGCAAUAACAGAAGCAGAGACACUUUAGGCAGAUUCUGUGGCUUUAGCAAAUCUGCCCUCCUUCACCACAGGAACGUUCAGCCCAGGAACUGAGUCAGACCCCCUCUGGCAGCCAGGAACAGGAUAGCCUUUGACAGAUAGCAAGCAAUCUGGGCAGAGGAGGCCAGGCCCCAGGACAGAAGGAGGGGCUGUGCACUCCUCUCCUUGCAAGGUGGGCCUCUCUGGGCAGUUAGGGAGGGCAGGAGGCCUCCUCCACUGGUUCCUCCGCAGCCUGGGAGAAGCAAGGGCACAUCCUACCUUGGCAGCCUUUGCCUGUCCAGCUCACACCCUGUGCUCAGGGGCAUUGCCUGGGCUUCUGGCAGAUUUGGUGGGAUCCGGGUCAUCUUGGUGAGGCCAGAGCCUAGCCAAAGAUUUCUCUCCUCCCACCCCCUCCUUUGCCCCUACUGCCCAGCCCCAGCCUUCUUCAAUCUGUUACUUCCUUUUAUAUCCAAAGAAUUAUAAACAGAAGUCCUUCCCUCAAGGAAGCAGCAAGAAAGGCCAGUGGAGUCACAAGGGACAGAAGAAAAACUCCCUGGUUCUUUGGCCUUUGGACUGUAGAGGCCUCGGGUGAGGUGGAGAUGGGCAGGAAAUCUUUCGGGGGCACCUCGAUACAGAGGCCGGAGAGCCCGCCUGUGGGCAUGCGUGUCCCUGGCCUGGCCUGCGGGGCUGCAGCCCUGGAGACAGCACUGCGGAGGCGGAGGAGGAAACUGUAUCCCCGAGAGUCAGCGGUGUUGGGUGUUCUGUCCUGACCACAUGGGCUCACCCGGAGGAAAGGUCAGGAGAACGGAGAACACAUGCGGGAGCGGGUGGCAAACAGGAGCUGCCCCUGCACGCCUCCCAGGCCUUGGCAGAGCCAUCAGCGCAGGGUUGGCAGCAAGCCUGCUCAGAGAGCUCCUGCCCCCGGAGGGCUCCCUUGGCUCCACAGGGACACUGGAUAUCUUGAGCCCUUGCUGUGGGAACAUCGGAGAGGUCCCAAGGUCAAGGUAUUUCUGAGUGUAGGCCCAGCUGGUGCCUGCAGACAGCUGUCCUUGGCCUCGAAGCCAGCGGUCCGUUCAUCCAGGACAAAGGUUGGGGCCAACACUGAGGCUGAACUGGCCAGAGUAGGAGGCAGCAGCAGCUUUGAGCCAGACACAUCCCACAUCUGUUGUCCCUGUUUCCUUCUCAGGGACGUGGGGACUCAGCUGCUCUCAGCACCGCGGAAGGCAGUCUGCAGACCUGUUCCCCCUCCGCCCCCGGGUGAGCCCAGGGAGAGGUCUAAACCAAAAAGACAGAAGCAGCCCCAGUGCCCACGCCCUUGCACCCCAGGCCUCAGAGUUCCAGGCAGGUUUCUCUUCCUCCUGCUCCUUUGGGGCGUGGGGGUCAGGCCACCUUGUUUCUUGCCCUGCCCUGAGUCUCACCCCUUCCCAGAGAUCAGGUUGUAUAAUUUUGCCCCCCUGUUUCUAAUCCCCUUCACUCCACAGUUCUCUCUACGUUGAAGUGGGGGCUGGGAGCUCCUGGGGUGGGGCAGGGGCCACAAGUAGAUAAUUCUGAGGGGGGGUUGGGCCUCUUGUUCUUGGUGCGUGGCACUGAGUCCUCCUUGUGGAAGGGCGGGAGGCCUUAGCUUCUCUGGGCCUCAGUUUCCCCAUCUAUAAAAUGGCCCAUUACUCCUCUUGUGACUGGAGUACUGUCUGGGACCCUGGCCCAGGGGACCCCGAGGGAUGUCUUGUCUCAGGUUGAAGUCUUUUUUUAUUAGAAUGUAAUUUCCUUCUCCAUUCCCAGGGAAGCAGUUUUUGAAUGUAGCAUGUGGGUCAAUAGAAAUAUAUAGAGAGGAGGCCAGUCCCGUGGCCGAGUGAUUACACUCAUGUGCUCCACUUCGCCAGCCCAGGGUUCACAGGUUCAGAUCCUGGGCACGGACCUACACACUGCUCAUCAGGCCAUGCUGUGACAGCAUCCCGCAUAAAAGAACUAGAAUGACUUACAAGUAGCAUACACAGCUAUACACUGGGGCUUUGAGGAGAAAAAAAGAAAAAAUAGAUUAUUUUUGGAAAAAAAGCAAUAAUUUAACUAACUGAAAUAUGCAUGAGGUAGCACGUGGGCUGCAAAGAGCAUUGAGCUGGGAACCAGGUCUCCUUGGUUCUACCCUGCUUGGACACUGAUGACGGAGUGACCUUAGGCUAAUCACGUCCUCUCUCUGGGACUUGUUUCCUCAGCUAUAAAGAGGGGAUUGCACUAACGUCCUCUAAGUCCCCCUCAGAGUCCAGGGCUCUGUGGUCUGGGAAGUGGAGCUCAAGCCACAGAACCAGGGGGCUUGCAGGUUUCCUGUGCCCCAGUGCUGUGCUCCUUGCAUGCAGCAAAUGUGUGGGGAGGGUGGGUGGGUAGAUAUGGUAGAUCUAAGAAAUGGUGGGAGUGAGAGGGAAAGCCAGGCACUGAGAGUUUCUCCUGCUAGAAUCCUCCCCGAGCACUCCUGCCCAGGGAGCCAGGACUACUUGCAGCUCUGCCUCCUGCAGCCAGGCCCAAGAGGAGUGAGUGUCUCCAGGCUCGCACAGGUGCCACUUUUGUGCACACGCUCUUACACACACAGACACCCCUCCUUGCAGAUGGGAUUUCAAGGACCGGCUCCUGCCCCAGUUAUGUAACCCACAGGCUUCCCUCUGCACAGCUGCUGGUGAGUCCAUCUCCAAGCUGACGGACACACCCCACCUCAUCGCCUUGCCUUCUGCAAGGGAAGUGCCUCAGGCUGCACUCUGCUCUGCCUACAGACUGAAUGUGCAUUUUGCCCAGUGCUCUGGGGUGUGCUGCUGGUAGGAUGGGCCGACGACUAUCUUUGGAUGGACAGCGGCAGCCACCAGUUUCCCAGCGCUCCGCCAUGGCUGACUCCUGACCUCGGCAACUUGCUUCCUCCCUCCCAGCCUCUAUAAAAGAGGGUAAGACCCAUUUCUUCCCUACCUCACAAGAAGGCGUGCAAUGCAAGGGCAUGUUGUAUCAGAUGUGCCCAGGUGCAGCUUGAGCUUUUGGAGACAGACACUCAAUUCGCAACCAUGGAGAUGGACUUUGACCAGAGAAGGAAACCUCUGGCUGCUGUGUUUGGUGGGCUCCCUGCAGGCUGGUCCGGAAAGCCUGGCGUUCACCCUGAAGGUGGCUGCUGUAUUCAACAUGUGAUGGGGCUGACAUCAGCGCCAGAACCAAGAACCAGAAUCUGUUCCCAAAGAAUGAACGCUUUAUCCCGCUGACACAAUAAGCAACAGCAGGAGAUAGCCAUCACCACCAUCUCCCUGUUCCCAAUACCAACGGCUUCUUAAGGCCAUGUUAUGUUGCUAAAGAAUCUAGGAGCAGGGCGUUUGGCUUCUCAGAGGAAUCCCCUACCUCCCAGGCCAUACCCGCAGGUCAGUGCCUACUGUAUCAGGCGGUUGUGGCCAGUCCUGCCUGGGCUCCCUUCUCUAAAUUCCUGUGGGAUCAGCACCACAGACCAUGAAGAGGAAACAGAAACCUUGGCUGUUCACAGGGGAGCCCAGGAGGUCAGGACCCUCCACCAGGAGGGUGAGAUGUGGGGGUGAUGCAGGGCCUCCCUGGAGGACCUGGUUAUACUGAGGAAGAGGUUCCAAAAGCAAGGAGCCCACAAAAUUGGGCAGCUCGGGCUCUGGCAGGAACCCCAGGCUCUGGAGUUCAAGGGUUUCCUAGUGGGCUGCUGGUCUAUCUCCCUUCCUUUGGGCAGCCUGCCCUCCUCCUCAGCUCAUCCCUGUGUUCCAUCCGAGAGGCAGGGGGAAGGCUGGAGGGGGAGAUGGCAGGACCCAGACGAGAUCCUCAGGACUCUCCCAGCCGUCGUUGCCAUGGCAAUGCUGCUAUUUUUAUCCCGUUCAUGAUGCUCAAAGCUCUGACUUUCUCUGUUCCAGAGAGGCCAGGCUGGCUUCUGCCCUCAUCCUUCAAUGCAGCGCCUUCUCCUAGAGGCCUGAGAAGGGAAAAGUGAUGGAGAAAGGGGAAUCCACUGGGUCCCCCUCAACCAAGGAAGCUGUUUGACAGUGGUUUGCCCUGCACUCUUGAGCCUUGGGUUUUCCAGCUGGCUUAGGUGCCCAGUUUCACAUCUUCAGGGAGAUCAGAACUCCCCAAGGUCUCCCCGAGAGGCUGCUCCAGAGAAAAAGAAAGAGCUGCCACGUGAGACGAGUUUUUCCCACACAGCUAGGACCUGAGGGGCUGCUGUCCUUGAGAAAACCAGACCCGGUUCUGAAGAACGUCCUAGUGGUACAAGCCAACCACUGGCCCCUUGAAAGGGAAUGGAGAGCUAAGUUUGGUUAAUUAGCAACAGGUACACUUACCAUCGCUGGAGAAUCUGAACUACUGCUUCCCUUUCCUCCACCCUCCACCAAAGAACUGGGGCAACUGGCUUCCUGUCUUUGUCUAGCCUUCAUGCCCAAAGCAAGUUAGCAUAUAUUCUCCAGGCUGGAAAGCAGACUCCUGGGUUCCUCUCCUUCCCUCCCCCCUGCCAAACAGCCAUGUUUCUCUCCAGGGCCUUGAGGUCUUAGAUUUUAAUGACGCUCUCUUUUUUUUCCAAAGCCCCCCAGUACACAGUUGUAUAUUUUAGUUGUGAGUGCCUCUGGUUGUGUUAAUGACGCUCUUGAAGGCAGGGUUCAAUGAAAGGAUUUCUUAGAGCUGUUCAUUCUCUGUCCCUUCUCCCUAGCCCAGCCUCUGGUCCUCUCCCUAUAUCCCCACCUCCACCCCAGUGGCAAGGUACCCCUGAGCGUCUACGGUGCUAACGUUCCCCAACUGUAUGUUCUGAUGGUCAGGGAGAUUUGAAUCCAGCAGCUGGGGUGGUUGGAUUGGGGGAGAGCAUUUCAUGCACGUCCUCGAGACCAUAAUCCUGGAUGGGUUUCGGUCUUAACCUAGUGAAGUAGCAAUCAUAUUGUGCUGACCUCCUGCAUUGAGGUUCCACUUCAGCCGAUCUGACUCCUGGAUGGGUAAUUUUUCUAGGGUGGCUGGGAUGCAUUUACUAAGCCUCUAAUUGGUUUCAGUUUGGCUCAAGUUGCAUGGUUUCCUGAAUCUGUGCACCUGGAGUAAGCACUUCUCUGGAUGCCUCUGAAAAGCAUGCCUGCAAAUGCUGCUCUGUUAAUUGCUGCAAUAAACAGACUUUACUAUA
Equus caballus (horse) is the source of this 6901-nucleotide non-coding RNA. The record is from RefSeq and is a predicted model, not a curated record. Lineage: Eukaryota; Metazoa; Chordata; Mammalia; Perissodactyla; Equidae.